This is a long non-coding RNA of Mauremys reevesii (Reeves's turtle), 919 nucleotides long. RefSeq lists it as uncharacterized. NCBI's taxonomy places the organism in Eukaryota, Metazoa, Chordata, Testudines, Geoemydidae. The transcript is spliced from 3 exons. The record is from RefSeq and is a predicted model, not a curated record.
AAGAGGAAGAAGGGCCUGGCUGCUUAGGAGCUGAGACAAGAUAUUUGAUGUUUUCCCCAAGGAAGCACUGCAUGCAGCCAAAUGGAUCAGCCAGCAGGAAGCGGGACCAUUGCUUUUGGAGUUCUGCUUUCACCUGUUGGAAGAAGAAAACAACCUGACACGAGCUCCUGUGUUCCAACUGGAUUACAUCUUCCCUCUGAUUGAAUCAUCAUGCUGCAUCAUGAGAACUCCAUGACUACAGCGCACCAUAGCGGAUGUAGUCCAACCAGGGAGCCCAGCCCACAGAAUGGGAGAAUGAGACACUCGUGGUAGCUCAGGCAGACACAAUUCAAUAUUGAAAUGAGCCAACAUGAAAUGUUUCAAUCUAGGGAUGUCAAAAUGUUUAGUUUAGAAUAAAAUGUUCCAGCAUUUCUGAAUCAAACAUUUCUGGAACUCUCAAUUCUGUGAAAAAUUUGACAUUUUGACUUGUCAUCUCUAUGGGACUAAACAAUUUCAAAAUAUUGGAAUUUCCUGCAGGAUGGAAAUCCUGAUUUUUUGCUUCUUAAAAUUCAGACUUGACCUCUGCCUGAGCUAGAAUUUUUUGAGAGUUUUAGCAAAAAUGGGUCAGUUAUUUCCAGGAAUAAUUUUAGUGAAAACUACUUUAGUCUUGACAUCAAACAUUUUUUUAAACUGGUUUUAUCAACUGUUAUCAUGCCUCCAUGCUGUGGAGAAGGAAACUGAAAUGCCUAUUAAUGGAAUAAUCCUAUGACCAGAAUGUUGUCUUUCACUGUCCCCAUAAAAAUUGCCAUUUUCACAUGCACUGUAGAAUUUCUUCAGAAUCUAUCCCUUAUUUUUCUGAAUAUCACACAUGCUUCUAGGCCUCAGUGAACCUCCGGUAUUGUAUGUAUGUGUUAUGUAAAUAACUAGAACUCUGCACAGG